RNAcentral lists this ribosomal RNA (403 nucleotides) under Ptilinopus melanospilus (black-naped fruit-dove). RNAcentral describes it as "partial 12S ribosomal RNA". It matches the Rfam family "Bacterial small subunit ribosomal RNA", at positions 794 to 1382 of the family's 1533-position model. Lineage: Eukaryota; Metazoa; Chordata; Aves; Columbiformes; Columbidae. The record is from RNAcentral.
GCAUGGCCCUAAAUCUCGAUGCAUACCCUACCCAAGCAUCCGCCUGAGAACUACGAGCACAAACGCUUAAAACUCUAAGGACUUGGCGGUGCCCCAAACCCACCUAGAGGAGCCUGUUCUAUAAUCGACAAUCCACGAUACACCCGACCACUUCUUGCUAAAAACAGCCUACAUACCGCCGUCGCCAGCCCACCUCCCCUGAGAGCACGACAGUGGGCACAAUCGCCCCAACCCCGCUAGUAAGACAGGUCAAGGUAUAGCCUAUGAAGUGGAAGAAAUGGGCUACAUUUUCUAACCUAGAAAACCCUCACUCUAACGAAAGGAAACAUGAAACAGUUCCCAGAAGGCGGAUUUAGCAGUAAAGCGGGAUAAUAAAGCCCCCUUUAAACUGGCUCUGAGGCAC